RNAcentral lists this small RNA (148 nucleotides) under Macaca mulatta (Rhesus monkey). RNAcentral's name for it is "Metazoan signal recognition particle RNA (ENSMMUG00000056974.1)". Lineage: Eukaryota; Metazoa; Chordata; Mammalia; Primates; Cercopithecidae. The record is from Rfam by way of RNAcentral.
GCUAGGUGAGGUGGUGCACGCCUGUAGUCCCAGCUACUCGGGAGGCUGAGAUGGGAGGAUCACCUGAGCCCAGGAGGUUGAGACUGUAGUGAGCUGUGAUUGUACCACUGCACUCCAGCCUGGGCAACAGAGUGAGACCCUAUCUCAA